AGCGGUGUGGUGUAAUGGUAGUGAGUCAGGCUCGUAACCAAAAGGUUGCUGGUUUGAUUCCUGCUGGGGCAC
Megalops atlanticus (tarpon) is the source of this 72-nucleotide non-coding RNA. NCBI's taxonomy places the organism in Eukaryota, Metazoa, Chordata, Actinopteri, Elopiformes, Megalopidae. The record is from the annotation of a GenBank genome assembly.